Molecule: long non-coding RNA, 158 nt
Organism: Gymnodraco acuticeps
Lineage: Eukaryota; Metazoa; Chordata; Actinopteri; Perciformes; Bathydraconidae
Exons: 3
Source: RefSeq, a predicted model, not a curated record
GUGGGCUAAUCCUCUCUGGUGACUGCAGGUCAGACUCUCCUGGCCAUUGUGCCAAAUAUGGCACCUACUCCUUGAUCGAGGACAGAAUAAACAAGGUUUUGGAUCUUCAACUUGUCCAGAGCUCAGAGGUUCCAAGCAGCACCUGGUGUGAACUAGAG